Molecule: ribosomal RNA, 449 nt
Filed under: uncultured bacterium
Lineage: Bacteria
Description: bacterial SSU rRNA
Rfam family: Bacterial small subunit ribosomal RNA
Source: RNAcentral
UGGGGAAUCUUGCGCAAUGCGCGAAAGCGUGACGCAGCAACGCCGCGUGGAGGAAGAAGGCUUUCGGGUUGUAAACCCCUUUCAGUUGGGACGAAGCUUCAGCGGUGAAUAGCCGACCGGAGUGACAGUACCUUCACAAGAAGCACCGGCUAACUACAUGCCAGCAGCCGCGGUAAUACGUAGGGUGCAAGCGUUGUCCGGAAUUAUUGGGCGUAAAGAGCGUGUAGGCGGCCCCAUUAGUCCGCUGUGAAAGUCCAGGGCUCAACCCUGAAAUGCCGGUGGAUACUGUAAAGCUAGAGUCCGGAAGGGGCGAGUGGAAUUCCUGGUGUAGCGGUGAAAUGCGCAGAUAUCAGGAGGAACACCAAUGGCAAAGGCAGCUCGCUGGGACGUGACUGACGCUGAGACGCGAAAGCGUGGGGAGCAAACAGGAUUAGAUACCCCUGUAGUCC